Myiozetetes cayanensis is the source of this 1994-nucleotide long non-coding RNA. RefSeq lists it as uncharacterized. The record is from RefSeq and is a predicted model, not a curated record. NCBI's taxonomy places the organism in Eukaryota, Metazoa, Chordata, Aves, Passeriformes, Tyrannidae. The transcript is spliced from 11 exons.
CACCAAGUGCUUUCCGCUUUGCUUCAGAAAAGAGCAAACUAGUUCCCUGAGGGAUAUUUUUCUACUCAGUAGAAUCCAGCAUCGCCUCCACGGGCACUUCUCUAUUCUCCUUGACCCACAGGAAUGUUUUUGACCUUGCCUGUGUAACUACACAACCAUAUAUAGAAAACAAUAAAAUAAAACCCACCACAACUCCCUUCAUCGUAAUCCUUCGAACACUCUUCUCAGGCAGGAAAAAGGGCAGAGGACCAAAGAACAUGCACAUAGGGCCUUUACUACUGAAAAAUGAAGGUGGGUGUAAGAACUCUGAUGAACCUGUUUGGACAACAGACAGCAAAAAAAUACCUGUCUCGGUGGAGGAGUUUAAGAGCACUGCAGAGAUCAUCAGACAGUGCAGAAUAUCUUGGCUCACACAGGCCAUUCUCUUUAUCUCAAAACAAUACCAGCCAAGCUCCUCUGUACCUAAAACUGAAGAGCUGCGGGAGCAGAAGGACAGUAGCUAAUACAGCUUUUAAAUGUGAAUCUCCUUAUCUUACUAAGAAAAAUAAAAAGAAAAAAAGAAAAAUAAAGAUAAAUACAUGAAUUCAAAGCAAGAUAAGAUAUCUGAUUCCAAGGAAGAAAGCUAUCCACAGCAGGUUGAAGCUACAGGGGCAGUCCUGACUUGUUUUUCUCCAUCAAGCUACUUUACUUCAGAAAGUGGACCUUCAAAAACAGCAAUUCCCAUGGAUCAGUGCUUAAAACGAUGUCAGGGUCUUGCUGAGCUGUUGUUGACCCCCUGGGCAGCAAGGUCUUGCCGAGCAGGACUGCAGUGAACCUCUCCCCAUGUCUCGGGGGAGCCCGGUGCUGAGUGUGGAAAACCCUCCGGGGGCCCAUAACACAGUGGAUGAUUGAUUGUAUCCGCCAGCUGGCUAAUAUCAUAAUUAACAAAGUUGCUACCAUGUCUGAGAAGUUUAAUCGAAAAAAUUGCCGGCAGUAUGAUGCCAUUGUCACAGAGAUCAGAAGCGCUGCAGUGUUGACUUUUGUACUGGUGGAGCCGCAGGACUAUGUAGAUGUGCUGAAAAGUCUUUCACUAGGAUAACUAAAGUGAGAUGUGAUUGCAGACAGCGCACUGGGCUGUGGUAGAACUGACCAGUGGCACCUUGCCUUUGCUCUGCUCAUUCCCGCCGGAGCAGCUCUGCCACGGGGACGCUGAACUUGGGAGCAGCUGCCUGCAAUGGACCUUCACAUGCAGGAAUGUCGGCAGGAGCGUGUGGAAGCACAUCAGCCAGGUUUAGCUGGUGGAUCAUAUUGUGAAAUCUGCAGCCAUGAAAGGCCCUCCAUUUACUGCACCCUUCAAAACGAAAUGUUAGCAUGGGAGGCUAAGCUGGAGGCUAAUAACGAAGGAGUCAGUGAAGGAGACCGAUGCCACGAGGGUUAUCUCACAGCCCCAGAUGCUGGAUAAGUUGAAGGAAGCAGAAUCGCUUUUGGAUGACAUUCAGGAAGGCCUUGAAUGAUUAUCUGGUGAAAAAAAGACUGUUCUUUCCAAGGUUUUUUUUUUUAUCUCUCAAUGCAGCAAUGAUCUCUCAGGAAUCCUUUUUGAGACAAAGGAUCACUCCACAUCCAACCACACCUAAGGAAAUGCUUUGAAGGAAUUGAGCAGCUCACUUUUAAUCACAAGAGAGAAAUUACCCACAUGGAGUCAGCAGAAAAUGAAAAAGUAGAGCUCGUGCUGUGAAUAAUUCCAGCAAGUGCCAAGGGGCUAGUUGAGAAAUGACUUCAUGAGGGAUUUCUCAGUAAAGAUUUCACCUGUGCCAUGCAGAAAAGCUGCCACCCAAGGGAUCCUUCUCAAUACCUGUCAGGAAGAGGAAGCCUGGAGGAGGGACUGCGCUGGACACAGAAGCAAAUUGAGGCAAAACUUUAGCACACAUCACACCUUUUGGCUGUUCAGGUUGCUUCAGGCUCCAAAUCCAGUCCUUCUUUAGGAUGGUACUCAGGUGGCUUAAACUGCAUCAGCA